RNAcentral lists this ribosomal RNA (496 nucleotides) under uncultured bacterium. Its description in RNAcentral is "partial 16S ribosomal RNA". It matches the Rfam family "Bacterial small subunit ribosomal RNA", at positions 29 to 507 of the family's 1533-position model. The record is from RNAcentral.
AUGCACGCUGGCGGCGUGCCUAAUACAUGCAAGUCGAGCGAACAGACGAGGAGCUUGCUCCUCUGACGUUAGCGGCGGACGGGUGAGUAACACGUGGAUAACCUACCUAUAAGACUGGGAUAACUUCGGGAAACCGGAGCUAAUACCGGAUAAUAUAUUGAACCGCAUGGUUCAAUAGUGAAAGACGGUUUUGCUGUCACUUAUAGAUGGAUCCGCGCCGCAUUAGCUAGUUGGUAAGGUAACGGCUUACCAAGGCAACGAUGCGUAGCCGACCUGAGAGGGUGAUCGGCCACACUGGAACUGAGACACGGUCCAGACUCCUACGGGAGGCAGCAGUAGGGAAUCUUCCGCAAUGGGCGAAAGCUUGACGGAGUAACGCCGCGUGAGUGAUGAAGGUCUUCGGAUCGUAAAACUCUGUUAUUAGGGAAGAACAAAUGUGUAAGUAACUAUGCACGUCUUGACGGUACCUAAUCAGAAAGCCACGGCUAACUACGUG